UGCAACGCGAAAAACCUUACCUACCCUUGACAUGUCACUAACGAAGUAGAGAUACAUUAGGUGCCCGUAAGGGAAAGUGAACACAGGUGCUGCAUGGCUGUCGUCAGCUCGUGUCGUGAGAUGUUGGGUUAAGUCCCGCAACGAGCGCAACCCUUGUCUUUAGUUGCUACGCAAGAGCACUCUAAAGAGACUGCCGGUGACAAACCGGAGGAAGGUGGGGAUGACGUCAAGUCCUCAUGGCCCUUAUGGGUAGGGCUUCACACGUCAUACAAUGGUGCGUACAGAGGGUUGCCAACCCGCGAGGGGGAGCUAAUCUCUUAAAACGCAUCAUAGUCCGGAUCGUAGUCUGCAACUCGACUACGUGAAGCUGGAAUCGCUAGUAAUCGCGGAUCAGCAUGUCG
This 401-nucleotide ribosomal RNA is filed under the name uncultured Polynucleobacter sp. Its description in RNAcentral is "bacterial SSU rRNA". It matches the Rfam family "Bacterial small subunit ribosomal RNA", at positions 955 to 1359 of the family's 1533-position model. Lineage: Bacteria; Pseudomonadati; Pseudomonadota; Betaproteobacteria; Burkholderiales; Burkholderiaceae. The record is from RNAcentral.